AGUAACGCGUGGAUAACCUGCCUUGCACUGGGGGAUAACACUUAGAAAUAGGUGCUAAUACCGCAUAAGCGCACAGAGCCGCAUGGCUCAGUGUGAAAAACUCCGGUGGUGUAAGAUGGAUCCGCGUCUGAUUAGCUGGUUGGCGGGGUAGAAGCCCACCAAGGCGACGAUCAGUAGCCGGCCUGAGAGGGUGAACGGCCACAUUGGGACUGAGACACGGCCCAAACUCCUACGGAAGGCAGCAG
RNAcentral lists this ribosomal RNA (245 nucleotides) under uncultured bacterium. Its description in RNAcentral is "partial 16S ribosomal RNA". It matches the Rfam family "Bacterial small subunit ribosomal RNA", at positions 109 to 354 of the family's 1533-position model. The record is from RNAcentral.